This 492-nucleotide ribosomal RNA is filed under the name uncultured bacterium. Its description in RNAcentral is "partial 16S ribosomal RNA". It matches the Rfam family "Bacterial small subunit ribosomal RNA", at positions 29 to 507 of the family's 1533-position model. The record is from RNAcentral.
AGUGAACGCUGGCAGUGGGCCUAACACAUGCAAGUCGAACGGCAGCACAGUAAGAGCUUGCUCUUACGGGUGGCGAGUGGCGGACGGGUGAGGAAUACAUCGGAAUCUACUUUUUCGUGGGGGAUAACGUAGGGAAACUUACGCUAAUACCGCAUACGACCUACGGGUGAAAGCAGGGGAUCUUCGGACCUUGCGCGAUUGAAUGAGCCGAUGUCGGAUUAGCUAGUUGGCGGGGUAAAGGCCCACCAAGGCGACGAUCCGUAGCUGGUCUGAGAGGAUGAUCAGCCACACUGGAACUGAGACACGGUCCAGACUCCUACGGGAGGCAGCAGUGGGGAAUAUUGGACAAUGGGCGCAAGCCUGAUCCAGCCAUACCGCGUGGGUGAAGAAGGCCUUCGGGUUGUAAAGCCCUUUUGUUGGGAAAGAAAAGCAGCAGGUUAAUACCCCGCUGUUCUGACGGUACCCAAAGAAUAAGCACCGGCUAACUUCGUG